ACAAGAAUGACAACCUGAGGACAACCAUGAGAGCCAGGAACAGGCCGUGAAACUCAGCUUUAAAGGUCAUAUUCCUUUUGGCACCCGAAAGAACAGUGGCCGUAAGUGAUUUGCUUUGCAUUUAUGGCUUUUACCUUGCGUGCAACUGGUAUCACUUACAAACUCCCACAGAGAGUCCCUGCCCCCCUGAACUGUGGUUACGAGCCACUCGCAAGCAGAAGUCUGAAGGCAGCUGUCUGAAAGCUGCAGGAACACCUGAAAUCAGAGGAACUGCUUACCUACCAGAACAGGUUCUACUACCUGAGCGUCUGGCCCAUCAUUUGGUAGGUCUGGGCACCAAUAUCCUUCCUGAACACAGGAGGUGCUGCAAAGGCAAAAGUGGAAGAGCCUAAAAUAAAAUACCCAGUUUUGCAUUCUUUGGACUUCCUGGUGGUAGGGUGGUGAAUUUUUUUUUUUUUUUGUUUAUUUAGAUAUACUAGAAAUGAAUGUAUGCAGUAAACUUCCCAAGAGAUAUAGGGAGAAAUAUUAAACAAUAUUAUUCUUAAUUAGCAAUACAUGAACAUUAUGAGGACUUCAUCAAGCUCAGACUCUCACUCUGCUGGGCUAGGUAAGAAGGCACUUCUUGCUUUCAAGAGAUUAAAACCUGAAGAAACCAAAGAGUCAUCGAAAUC
Molecule: long non-coding RNA, 671 nt
Organism: Empidonax traillii (willow flycatcher)
Lineage: Eukaryota; Metazoa; Chordata; Aves; Passeriformes; Tyrannidae
Exons: 3
Source: RefSeq, a predicted model, not a curated record